This 87-nucleotide non-coding RNA is filed under the name Fusibacter sp. 3D3. RNAcentral's name for it is "Fusibacter sp. 3-D3-R-P8ASC2010 ZMP/ZTP riboswitch aptamer (pfl RNA motif)". It matches the Rfam family "ZMP/ZTP riboswitch aptamer (pfl RNA motif)". From Rfam's summary of the family: Previously known as pfl RNA. The record is from Rfam by way of RNAcentral. RNAcentral also lists the same sequence under 1 other name. Lineage: Bacteria; Bacillati; Bacillota; Clostridia; Eubacteriales; Fusibacteraceae.
UGAAUAUCUCAAAACUGGCGGAGUCAGUGGAAAACCACGAGGGAUUGAGAGUAUUAUAAUGAUUAGCCGACCGCCUGGGCGCUUACA